CAGCCGCCACGGUAGUACGAAGGGUGCAAGCGUUAAUCGGAAUUACUGGGCGUAAAGCGUGCGUAGGCGGUGAGUUAAGUCUGCUGUGAAAUCCCCGGGCUCAACCUGGGAAUGGCAGUGGAUACUGGCUCGCUAGAGUGUGUCAGAGGAUGGUGGAAUUCCCGGUGUAGCGGUGAAAUGCGUAGAGAUCGGGAGGAACAUCAGUGGCGAAGGCGGCCAUCUGGGACAACACUGACGCUGAGGCACGAAAGCGUGGGGAGCAAACAGGAUUAGAUACCCCCGUAGUCCCUGUCUCUUAUAA
Molecule: ribosomal RNA, 301 nt
Filed under: uncultured bacterium
Lineage: Bacteria
Description: partial 16S ribosomal RNA
Rfam family: Bacterial small subunit ribosomal RNA
Source: RNAcentral